RNAcentral lists this long non-coding RNA (492 nucleotides) under Ricinus communis (castor bean). RNAcentral's name for it is "long non-coding RNA (RCOM_LNC002856)". Lineage: Eukaryota; Viridiplantae; Streptophyta; Magnoliopsida; Malpighiales; Euphorbiaceae. The record is from RNAcentral.
UGUUCAUGGCAUAAUCCUCAUGCUGUAAACUCAAAGCAUGGACAGAUCCUCAAGUUAAGACACAAGCGGCCUCUUGCCAUGGAGGUCUUUCUACUCUAUUGGAUCUUUAGAUAGCUGAGUUAGCUCUUUUGGAUUACACCAGAAACAGAUCGUAGCAACUAUUAGAACAUUGUCAUUGGAUCAAGAGAAGAGAAAGGAGGAAGUUAUAAAGCCAUGAGAGAGUAAGAGAGUAUAGAAGAGAGGGAAGCUUACUUAGAGAAACUUGCUUGAAUUUUAUUACCACAGACUUCUCCUUUUAUAGAGUUGAGAGUCGGUACAAUCCUUCAAAAGUUAGUGGAUAUCCCACUAAUACUUACAAAUAAAAGUUAGUGGAUAUUCCACUAAAGCUAACAAACAAUAAUACACCACAAUUAUAGCGGCCUAUGGCGGCCCACCACUAUCACCAAUAAUACACUCCACUAAUGCUAACAAACAAUAAUACACCACAACUAU